GCGUAGGGAGCAAGCGUUGUCCGGAAUUAUUGGGCGUAAAGGGCGCGUAGGCGGGAUAUUAAGUUAGGUGUGAAAACUGUGGGCUCAACCCAGAGACUGCAGUUAAAACUGGUAUUCUUGAGUACAGGAGAGGAAAGUGGAAUUCCUAGUGUAGCGGUGAAAUGCUUAGAUAUUAGGAGGAACACCAGUUGCGAAGGCAACUUUCUAGACUGUAACUGACGCUGAGGCGCGAAAGCGUGGGGAGUGAACAG
RNAcentral lists this ribosomal RNA (251 nucleotides) under uncultured prokaryote. Its description in RNAcentral is "partial 16S rRNA". It matches the Rfam family "Bacterial small subunit ribosomal RNA", at positions 525 to 775 of the family's 1533-position model. The record is from RNAcentral.